Molecule: ribosomal RNA, 429 nt
Filed under: Gemmatimonadota bacterium
Lineage: Bacteria; Pseudomonadati; Gemmatimonadota
Description: Gemmatimonadetes bacterium partial 16S ribosomal RNA
Rfam family: Bacterial small subunit ribosomal RNA
Source: RNAcentral
UAGGGAAUCUUCGUCAAUGGACGAAAGUCUGACCGAGCAACGCCGCGUGAGUGAAGAAGGUUUUCGGAUCGUAAAACUCUGUUGUUAGAGAAGAACAAGGACGUUAGUAACUGAACGUCCCCUGACGGUAUCUAACCAGAAAGCCACGGCUAACUACGUGCCAGCAGCCGCGGUAAUACGUAGGUGGCAAGCGUUGUCCGGAUUUAUUGGGCGUAAAGCGAGCGCAGGCGGUUUCUUAAGUCUGAUGUGAAAGCCCCCGGCUCAACCGGGGAGGGUCAUUGGAAACUGGGAGACUGGAGUGCAGAAGAGGAGAGUGGAAUUCCAGGUGUAGCGGUGAAAUGCGUAGAUAUAUGGAGGAACACCGGUGGCGAAGGCGGCUCUCUGGUCUGUAGCUGACGCUGAGGCACGAAAGCGUGGGGAGCAAACAGG